CCUACGGGGUGCAGCAGUGAGGAAUAUUGGUCAAUGGACGAAAGUCUGAACCAGCCACGCAGCGUGAAGGAUGACUGCCCUCUGGUUUUUAAACUUCUUUUAUAUGGAAAUAAAAUGUUCCACGUGUGGGAUUUUCUAUGUACCGUAUUCAUACGGAUCGGCUACCUCCGUGCCAGCAGCCGCGGUCAUACGGAGGAGCCGAGCGUUAUCCGGAUUUAUUUGGUUUAAGUGGAGCGUAGGUGGGUUGUUAAGGACGGUGUGAAAGUUUGCGGCUGAAACGUUAAAUUGCAGUGGAUAGUGGCAGUCUUGAGUACAGGAGAGGUGGGAGGAAUUCGAGGUGUAGCGGUGAAAUGCUUAGAUAUCUGGAAGAACUCCGAUUGCGAAGGCAGCUCUCUGGACUGCAACUGACGCUGAGGCUCGAAAGUGUGGGGAUCAAACAGGAUUAGAUACCCUGGUAGUC
This 460-nucleotide ribosomal RNA is filed under the name uncultured bacterium. RNAcentral describes it as "partial 16S ribosomal RNA". It matches the Rfam family "Bacterial small subunit ribosomal RNA", at positions 338 to 795 of the family's 1533-position model. The record is from RNAcentral.